RNAcentral lists this ribosomal RNA (584 nucleotides) under Dyella sp. E139. RNAcentral's name for it is "bacterial SSU rRNA". It matches the Rfam family "Bacterial small subunit ribosomal RNA", at positions 26 to 604 of the family's 1533-position model. Lineage: Bacteria; Pseudomonadati; Pseudomonadota; Gammaproteobacteria; Lysobacterales; Rhodanobacteraceae. The record is from RNAcentral.
GAUGACGCUGUCGUCUGCCUAAACAUGCAAGUCGAACGGCAGCACAGCAGUAGCAAUACUGUGGGUGGCGAGUGGCGGACGGGUGAGUAAUGCAUCGGGAUCUACCCAAACGUGGGGGAUAACGUAGGGAAACUUACGCUAAUACCGCAUACGUCCCAUGGGAGAAAGCGGGGGCUCGCAAGACCUCGCGCGGUUGGACGAACCGAUGUGCGAUUAGCUAGUUGGUAGGGUAAUGGCCUACCAAGGCGACAAUCGCUAGCUGGUCUGAGAGGAUGAUCAGCCACACUGGGACUGAGACACGGCCCAGACUCCUACGGGAGGCAGCAGUGGGGAAUAUUGGACAAUGGGCGCAAGCCUGAUCCAGCAAUGCCGCGUGUGUGAAGAAGGCCUUCGGGUUGUAAAGCACUUUUAUCAGGAGCGAAAUGCCAUGGGCUAAUACCCCGUGGAGCUGACGGUACCUGAGGAAUAAGCACCGGCUAACUUCGUGCCAGCAGCCGCGGUAAUACGAAGGGUGCAAGCGUUAAUCGGAAUUACUGGGCGUAAAGGGUGCGUAGGCGGUUCGUUAAGUCUGUCGUGAAAUCCCC